Sturnus vulgaris (Common starling) is the source of this 550-nucleotide non-coding RNA. Lineage: Eukaryota; Metazoa; Chordata; Aves; Passeriformes; Sturnidae. The record is from RefSeq and is a predicted model, not a curated record.
CCAGAAAUGUCAAGAACUGGUAGAAACACAAAAGUCCUGUGAUCCUGUUAUAGGAAUUGGGUCUAAACAAGACACAGCACAGAGAUAUGUGAUCAGGUAUCAACCCUAAGUGGAAUUCAGUACUUGAAAUAAUGGUAGAACACUCUCCAGGAAUAAAGACAGAAGUGGGCAUCUGUUUUUUAAAUUUCAAUGUUCAAUGGGAAAUGAAAAUAUUGGAUAAUAGGAACAUGAUGAUGAGCCCAGAAAGCUCAUUGUCCUAGUGCAAGAACUUCAUGCAGAGAACUAGACUGAAGAUCACACAGGAACUUCUAGGAACAUCUCUCUACAGGAAUGGGCAACACAGCUGGAAAUGAAAGGAAUUCAAUUAAUUGGUUUACAGAGGGUAGAAACUCUUUCCUAUCAGAACUGAGUCAGGUAAUUUGAUUUUUGUUGCAAUGACUACCCUUCAUAGCCAAGCAGUUGUAGAGCUCAAAAGAAUUUUAUCAUGGUCCAGAUAAAAGCUGAGACUGUCCCCUCCAUGGCAGUGUUACAAUUAAUUGAUUGUUACGAA